Molecule: long non-coding RNA, 731 nt
Filed under: Sorghum bicolor (sorghum)
Lineage: Eukaryota; Viridiplantae; Streptophyta; Magnoliopsida; Poales; Poaceae
Description: long non-coding RNA (SBIC_LNC004387)
Source: RNAcentral
UAAAACACUUGCAAAAAUACGUAUAUAAAAAGCCUGAAACACUUAAAAAUGACGCACAACAUACAUGUACAACCAUUGCAACAUCUGCAACAUCUUGAUCUACUUUUGUAACAUCCGUAUAAAACAAUUGAAACAUACACAUAAAACAACCGAAACACUUGAAACAUGGGCUUGCAACAUAUCACAAAAAAGAGUCCAAAAACACUCAAAACACAUCAACAUCGCGCGGCCAUAACCUACUUGGUGGAACCUGCGGUGGCACAGGCUCGCUGGAUGGUCUGCUUGCAUGCCCCUGCCAUGCCCGCCGUUAGCCAAGGGAGAGGAGACGCUGCUAGAUCUGGGGAGGACACUGCCGGCCACGGUAGGGGAGGGUCAGCAGCUUGCUUGAGCCCCGCCGGCCACACGCCACCAGCUUCCUCGAGCCUGCUAGCCAGAUCGGUGAGAUACAGGUAGGGAUGGGACACGGCGGGUAGUAGCAGGGUGCGCGGUGCGCAGCGAGCUGGAGCGAGAACGUCGGAGCUUGGAACAUGCCAAGGCGAUGGAGGAGCGUCCGGUGCUAGAUGGAGAGCUGCACGCCGCGAAAUGGGCUGCACAGCGGGGAAGACGGCAGCAGCCGAACAGCGAGCGCACGAGUAACUGCAGAGAAAUGGAUAAGUACGAAGUGGAAGAUAUUUUGCUAGACGAUAAGACGCAAUGAAACAUACCUGUUGAGCCACGGAGGCCCACAAAGC